Molecule: long non-coding RNA, 407 nt
Filed under: Homo sapiens (human)
Lineage: Eukaryota; Metazoa; Chordata; Mammalia; Primates; Hominidae
Description: HSALNT0377633
Source: RNAcentral
GUCUCUGCAGUAAGAGAAGAACGGCACUGGGGAGGAGCAGCCGUGCAGGUCUGCCCCUGAGAGGAAGUGUGGUCAGCAUUCCCAUGGAGCCCUGACCGGACCGCUCAGGAGUGGGCAUUCAGCAAGGAUCUUUGUCUGAUAUUCUGAACCCCAGAGUCAUAUGAGAAGAAGAAAAAUGAAUGGAUGAAGGAAUAAGUCUCUUCUUCAACUCAGGAAAAAAGACAGCAAAUUAUUCUGUUGUAUUGAAAUACUACACAAUAUGCAUGUGAUGGGUUCCUGAUGCCCAGAGUUCUGGGCUCCUUGCCUUGCUGGAUCAUAUUAUCAUUAUGCUAAGCCAAUGGUUCCUCAUUUACUAUGGAGUAAAUGGAAAAAACAUCCCAAACACAGCAUCACAUGGAAUGUGGUUC